UGUACUGUUGCUUUCCAGCUCUACAGAACUGUGUGUUUCGUUUUGUAUUUGUUGUUUUUCGGUGUCAUCAAUCAAAAGAAAGAUGUACGCCUACCACGCUGCACCUCGGUCCAAUCCAUCUUUAAACGAACGUGACAGUACCUUUAUUCCUAGUUAGUGGAGCUCCAGCCUACCAGCGACACCACCCUGAACCCUAGGAGCUACCACAGCAGCCGGCUCUCCCUGGAGGACAAAGCACUUCCCGCUGGCGGGGAGGGGAAGUUCCGUGAUGGGAAAAAGAGCAUAGGGACAGAUUAUGAGGAGAACUGGCAGGACGUGAUGGACAGCACCAGUGAGUCCACACACCUUGAGGAUGACGAGGAUUAGGAGUCCCUCCAGUCCAUCUAUGAGGAGGAGGAAGAAGGGUCGGUGGUGGUAAUGCACAUACAAAUAAGAAGAAGAAGAAGAAGAAGAGGCAGGAUGUGAAGGGGACCUCGACUGAGAGCCCAUCCCCAUACCUGCAGGAGUUCCAUAGUUUACCGAAGAGACUGGUUCCCUCUGAGAUCAAACACUGUCUGUAUGAACUUGAGAUGAGUGACAGAGACAGAGAGGAACUGGGUUGCAAAACCAGACAUUGGGUUCAAGUACUAUUAUGUUUUUCAAAUGCUUUGUUUGAUAGAGCCUGUCUGGAGUGUCAGGUGACAGUGUUUUGCACUUUUCGGGACUAUUUCAUUGGUUAUAUUAUGCCAGGCAAACUCAUUAGAGUGCAGCUAACGUUUUUGAAAGACAACAAAUACUAUUUUAACUCUGUCUGGUUAAACAAUGAACAAGAACUGACAAGAAGAAAAAGAGGAAAUGUUGAUACUUUUAACCUCAACAAAAUGCUGACAGAUUUAUGAUCAUUUGGAGAUGUGUGUUCUCCACUAACUCCUCUUUCAGUUCCUAGUGCUGGCAUCUUGCCAGGUUUCUCUCAGAAAAGAUUCAUGAAAUGAAGACUGCAACCAGACACCAUCCUUAGUGAUCAAGAGCAAAUUGCCCGCUGUGUACACCACAUCCCUUCAACAUGGAAACUUGGGUCUUAUUUGGUUGAGACGUUUGCUGAAAUUCAAAUGUUGGUUGUGCUUUCAACCAUCUGAAAGCACAACCAAAUUAAAGUGGAAAAACAAUGUCUGAUAUUUGGUUUAGUUGUCAUCUAAAUGUGUUAUCACUGCGCUUUCAACCAAUUAAAAGCACAAGAAAGCUCAAUUGGGAAUAUCAUGUCAGAUAUUUUAUAUUUAUACAACAAGUUAACGUGUUAUCACUGUGCUUCAUCAAAUAGCAAAAACAAAUGAUCUGGAUUUCAGUUGAGAUUAAAUCAAAUCAAUUGUUAUUCAUCACAUGCUUCGUAAGUAAGAGGUGUGGACAAAUAGUGAAAUGCUUACUUACGGGCCCUUCCCAACAAUGCAGAGUGAAAGAAAAUAGAUACAUAAUAAGUAAAACACGUAAUAAUAAAAGCAAAAAUAGAUACAUAAUGAGUAAUGAUAACUUGACUAUAUACAAGGGGUAACAUGCAGGGAAACAAGGGGUAACAUAACUAGGAAUAAAGUCACUGACUGAUAAAGAGAGAGAAGGAGCAAUUGAAGAUAUGGCCAGUUGGAAAUGAUUUACAGAUGGGCUUGAAGGAAGGGGGAGGGGAGAAAAAGAAGUUGAGGCAACAGAUGAGAGCAAAUUGCAUGGGAAGGAAAGCAAGAGAACAGUCAUGGUGAAAGGGGUCACCUGUGGGAGAGGCUUCUGAGGAAGAGAGAGGAGAGAAAACAGCAGACAUUUUUAGUCUGUUGUUAUUUCAGCCUUUCCAAUAUUAUCAUCAUCUCCAUUUCAGAGGAGUUCCCUUCCUAUUGCUAGCAAAAAAAAAAAUAAAGAGUGUUAUUAGUCUUAUUAGUGUUGUUUUAGUGUCUCCUUUAUGCAACCAAAUGAAAUGGUGAUU
This is a long non-coding RNA of Oncorhynchus kisutch (coho salmon), 1942 nucleotides long. RefSeq lists it as uncharacterized. The record is from RefSeq and is a predicted model, not a curated record. Lineage: Eukaryota; Metazoa; Chordata; Actinopteri; Salmoniformes; Salmonidae. The transcript is spliced from 3 exons.